Molecule: ribosomal RNA, 406 nt
Filed under: uncultured bacterium
Lineage: Bacteria
Description: partial 16S ribosomal RNA
Rfam family: Bacterial small subunit ribosomal RNA
Source: RNAcentral
AUUGAACGCUGGCGGCGGGCCUAACACAUGCAAGUCGAACGAGUGGCGGACGGGUGAGCGAUGUCUGGGAAACUGCCUGAUGGAGGGGGAUAACUGCUGGAAACGGUAGCAAAUACUGCUUACCGUCAGAUGUGCUCAGAGGGGAUUAGCUAGUUGGUGGGGUAACGGCUCACCAAGGCGACGAUCCCUAGCUGGUCUGCGAGGCUGACCAGCCACACUGGAACUGAUACACGGCCCAGACUCCUACGGGAGGCAGCAGUAGGGAAUAUUUCGCAAUGGGCGAAAGCCUGAUGCAGCAAUGCCGCGUGUGUGAAGAAGGCCUUCGGAUUGUAAAGUACUGUCAUCGGGGAGGCGGUACCUGAAGAGGAAGCACCGGCUAACUCCGUGCCAGCAGCCGCGGUAAUAC